RNAcentral lists this ribosomal RNA (230 nucleotides) under uncultured bacterium. Its description in RNAcentral is "partial 16S ribosomal RNA". It matches the Rfam family "Bacterial small subunit ribosomal RNA", at positions 562 to 791 of the family's 1533-position model. The record is from RNAcentral.
AAAGCGUGCGCAGGCGGUCUUGCAAGACAGGUGUGAAAUCCCCGGGCUUAACCUGGGAACUGCACUUGUGACUGCAAGGCUGGAGUACGGCAGAGGGGGAUGGAAUUCCGCGUGUAGCAGUGAAAUGCGUAGAUAUGCGGAGGAACACCGAUGGCGAAGGCAAUCCCCUGGGCCUGUACUGACGCUCAUGCACGAAAGCGUGGGGAGCAAACAGGAUUAGAUACCCGAGU